This 64-nucleotide transfer RNA is filed under the name Nodularia douglasiae. RNAcentral's name for it is "tRNA-Ala". Lineage: Eukaryota; Metazoa; Mollusca; Bivalvia; Unionida; Unionidae. The record is from RNAcentral.
AGUUCUAUACUUUAAGAAAAAGACUUGAUUUGCAUUCAAUAAUUGAACACCCAUUCUAGAACUA